RNAcentral lists this unclassified non-coding RNA (348 nucleotides) under soil metagenome. RNAcentral describes it as "partial contains 5.8S ribosomal RNA, internal transcribed spacer 2, and large subunit ribosomal RNA". The stretch from base 1 to 120 matches the Rfam family "5.8S ribosomal RNA", at positions 35 to 154 of the family's 154-position model. The record is from RNAcentral.
GAUGAAGAACGCAGCGAAAUGCGAUAAGUAAUGUGAAUUGCAGAAUUCAGUGAAUCAUCGAAUCUUUGAACGCACAUUGUGCCCGCCAGUAUUCUGGCGGGCAUGCCUGUCUGAGCGUCAUUUCAACCCUCAUGCCCCUAGGGCGUGGUGUUGGGGAUCGGCCAAAGCCCGCGAGGGACGGCCGGCCCCUAAAUCUAGUGGCGGACCCGUCGUGGCCUCCUCUGCGAAGUAGUGAUAUUCCGCAUCGGAGAGCGACGAGCCCCUGCCGUUAAACCCCCAACUUUCCAAGGUUGACCUCAGAUCAGGUAGGAAUACCCGCUGAACUUAAGCAUAUCAAUAAGCGGAGGA